UCGGGCUCAUGAGAAGCCGCCAUUGUUCCUAGUAUAUCCUGUGUCGUAUAAUUUUUUCCGAUAGUUUAAAACUGUGUUUAAAUUCGUGAAUUAGUAUUAACCAGUAUAACACUUUUGCAACAACAUAUUUAAAAUAUAUAUUAUUUCUGGUGUUAAAAUAAUAGGCUUCAAAAUAUAAGCAAGUUCGUACAUAGCCUGGAAUGUCCACUAGUGUCGAUCAGCGCAUGAAAGGCCAAGGAAGUUCAGUACCAAAUGGACCAAAGGAUGAAGAAUUUGAUACCUGGAGAAAUCAACCUCAACAGGCAUAUAAUGCAGCUAUGUCAUCAUCUAGCAUGGGAGAUCCCUACAUGCCUGGUUACUACCCUUCUAUGUCUUUUCCCUAUUUGAAUCAAGGACUUGGUGAUGGUGCAUGGAGCAAUGGUGGUGAUCCUAUGACUUUCCUUGGUGGAUAUGGUGGACAGAUGGGAGGUACUGACCAACAUUCCCACUAUAUGGAUGGUAUGUUUGGUCAGAAUAGCUUUACUGGUUACAGUCAGGGUUUUAACUUCUUUCAUGGAGGGAGUGGUGACUACUCAGCUUGGGGCAACUCAGGCAUGGGAGGAUGUAAACCAGGGCCAGCUGGACAUGGCUAUCAUGAAGACUACUAUAGAGAUGCAUAUGAACAGGUUGUUGAACGUGGGGCCUUAAAACAUGUGGAACAGGGGAUGGGGGGAUUGUCUCUUAGUGAACACAAAAAUGAAAUACAGUUUUCAAAAGAUGGUUAUCUUAAACCAGGAAUUGCCUCUGGACAAGGGCAUUUGAUGACUGACCAUCAACUGGCAAAGAAAUUUAUAGCAUCCUCAGUAGACCCUCUCUCAAUGGGUAGACCUAUCCCCGGUGUUCUAGGGCAACCAGUGGGCUCCAAAAAGAUGUCCUGGGCAUCAGUUGCCAGUCAGCCUGCUAAGCCACAACUAAAGAGUAAACCCAAAUCCAUUCCUCCACCAACCAUGUUGCAUGGAAAACACAAUACUACUAGCAUGGACAUUGGAACAUGGGAAAGUAAAAAUGGAAAUGGACCUGUCAAUGGGGGGAAAACAAUGCCCCCAUCUUCACAGACAAGCUCAGCUACAUGGGGUUCUUCCCGUGGGAGUCGGAAUAAUGGCACUUCAGGACAUGGAUAUGUGCCACCUCAACCACCACAGUUCCAGCACAUUGCAUUAGCUCAGAAUCAACCUUCAGUGGGUAGUGAUGAGUUUCCUUCUCAUCCUGUAUUGGAUAAACUUCGUAUGGAAAACAAUUAUAAUCCUAAAGAGUUUGAUAUGAACCCUAAAAAUGUGAGAUUUUUUAUCAUCAAGUCAUACUCUGAAGAUGACAUACAUCGAUCUAUCAAGUACUCAAUUUGGUGCUCUACGGAACAUGGUAACAAACGACUGGAUGCAGCAUUUCAUGAGCGUGAAGGAAAGGGCCCAAUCUUUUUAUUCUUCAGCGUAAAUGGUUCAGGACACUUCUGUGGAAUGGCACAGAUGGUCUCAAAAGUAGACUAUGGUGCCUCUUCAAGUGUCUGGGCUCAAGACAAGUGGAAGGGACAGUUUAGAGUCAAAUGGAUCUAUGUGAAGGAUGUGCCUAAUUCACAGCUCCGUCACAUCAGACUGGAGAACAAUGAAAAUAAGCCCGUAACAAACUCUCGUGACACUCAAGAGGUUCCAGUUGAGAAAGGUAAACAGGUACUGAAGAUCAUUCACAGUUUCAAACACUCUACCUCUAUCUUUGAUGACUUUCUUCAUUACGAAAAACGCCAAGAAGAAGAUGAACAGCGAAGAACUCAGCUUUAGGUAACUGACAUGUCCUCACAGUGCCCUAUGUGCAUCCUCGGGUACAAAAAAAUUAAAAGAGACAGCCCCGAGGAACUAGAGGACAACCAGAACACUAGUGUUAUCAUCCUGUAGUGGCUGUGGACUUCAGUCGGUGUUCUUAUCCAAUAUAUUGUGCUUGUUUGUUGCAACGUAAAAUUCUACAUUCAAAAGCAUCACUUGUGAUUUUUCAACUUGCAACUGGAUAUUAUAGAGUGUAUUAACUACCAGUAAGAUUUCUGCCUUUGGUGUACAACUGCUGUAGUCUACUUUUUUGAUGUCUUGCUAACCCUGAAUCUUAUUAGCUCACUUGGUAUCAAUCUCUGUAUAUGUACAUCAUAUCGGUUGAUGGUUGUGGGAUUACAACUAACUUGUGGCAUCACUAAUCUUGUUCGUAGGAUGGUUCAUAAGGUUUAGUUCACUUACCAUAAAGGUGUUCACUUAUUGAAAUGUCUUUCAGUAUGUUCUAGCUACAACUUCUAAGAAGUAAAUGAUUGUGUUGACAGCAACAUCAGCAGCAAAGGUUUGAGCUUACAAUCACAGACUUCCAAGAAUUUCUAAGUGUGUUUAUUGAGAAACAAGUUUUCCAAAUCUGGUUCCAACCCAUAUCUCCCUUGAACUUCCAGGGUUUUCUUAUCUGAAGAAACUGGACGAAAGGAAAGUUUGCAAACAGUGGCGUUUGGACUUCUCUCUGAACCCAAAGAACUCCCAGGACUAUUCAGACACAACUUUGUGAUUUGACAGUUUAGUGACAGUGGACACCUAGUUCACUGUUCAAAUGGACUAAAAUUAAGCAUAAUUUAAAGCUAUUUCUGGACUGAUGUUUGUGCCAACAAAGCACAAAAAAAAUGAUGUAGGCAUGUUUAAUGUAUUACAAGAGGCUGCUGUGUAGCUGUCUGCUCAAGGAAGGUAAAGUAUAUUGGUUACAGUUUGGAUUAAGAAGACUGUUACGUCCAUCCGAUUAUGAUACUUUUUCAUAUUCUGGGUCACAUCAGUUUGUUUCAUUUAUUGCUAGUUAUAAUGGAGAAGAAAUUGUGAUUGUUUUGUAUAUCAGAAAUUUGUAAGUUGUUUGACUGGCAUUCAAGUUGAAAGCAUUCAAAGUAACAAAAUAAUUUCAAUCAUAUUUUCAAAAUGGUAGAUUCUUAUUACUGUGCUUAACUAUCAUUAUUCUGAAAUAGUUUAUAAUGGAAAUUGCACUGGUUUAACGAAGUCUGCUCUACAUUGAUCUAAACUAUGAAGAAUGGGAUAUUUUCUAACAAAUUUGAACAUUUUCUCCGACUUAAUGAACAUGAAUUGUGAAUAAAUGAGGUAAUUGAUUAAUUUCUUUACAAAGUAUCAAUACUAUUUUGUUAUAUAUAUAUUAUAGGUACGUUUGAUUUACAUGCAGCUUUGGAUGAGAAAAUUGUUUCCGUUUGUAUUAGGUGUUGCAGAUGGUAAAUGUUUGAUACAUGGUUAGUCUGCAUAAUGGUGUCAAGGCUACUGUGUAGCUUGUAUUUUAGCAGCUUGUUUUGGUUGACCUCUAAGUAAGCAUGUUAACAAUCUUAGAAUGAGUAUUGGCUCAUGACUUGUAACCACAGAUUAUUGAACAAUAAACAGUGACUAAUCUUUUACAUUAUUAUUAUUUUUGAACAAGCUGUUUCUUAUAAGAGUUUAUGAGUUUUUUGAAUGAGAGAGUUAAGUUUAUCAGUCAAGUCCAUCGUUGCUUGGUUACUGAAGCAAAUUGACUUUAACUGUCAUAAAAUCAUGUACUUUAUGUUUGAGAUCUCUGUUUUACGUGGAACAUGUGUGAUAAAAUCAUAACUAUAAGGAUGAUGGAUUGAAUAAGAUUUUAAAUUGAUUAAAUAAAAUUUUAAAAAAUUGAUCAAUGUUUACACAGUUACUCUAUUAAGCUAUUAAAAGUGAUCGUUCAAGUGACAUAUUUAGUUGUUUGCUUUUUUUUAGUUGCCAUAUACUAAUUAAAUAAUUUUGGCAUCAGUAUAUACUUUAUUGACAAAGUUAACUUUAUACGUGUUUAACAGUUUAAAUUAUUUAACAAAUCAACUCAAAUAUUAUUAAGUUACCAAGACAUUGAAGAUAUUAAAAUCGGGGAGAAUGGAACAUUGACCACACACUAAGGAUAUGGACUAACAAAUCUGAUCUUUUUAUGUAAUACUUUGACCACAAUCUGUAACUUUUUAUGAAUAUGGGUAUACUUCACGAAAAUAUUAAUUUCUGUUUAUGCCUGCUUAAGGGCAUGUGCAAUAAGUUUCAAUCAUUAAACAUGAUUUAGCUAAAAAAAAAGUUUAAUAAUUAAUCUGAAGUAACUAAGAAUGGAUGUUUUCAAAAAUGUUAUCCUACAAUAUUGCUUUUUAUUGGUAUUGGAUACUUUUAAUUUUGUGAAAGAGCUUGGAUUACAGCUUCCUAAUAUUUUAUGUGGAUUCUAUAAUAUUUUAACUAAGUAAGUGAAUUUGCUGUUGAUUUACUUAUGUUAACUAAUGUAAUUGAUGUUUAUGUGUUAGAAAGUGUGUUUCUUUAAUAACAGAGUUCUGAAAACUGUUGUGGCCCAGAUAAAGAAGAAACAAAUCAGUGAGAGGAAUGUACAACUGAUUAGUUUUUCUCAGUCUCUGUGAGGUUCUAGUACGUUUUAGCUGGUUAAAUGGACAUUUGGAAAAGUACACCAAGAUGUACAAUGUAACUUUCAAACUCAACUCGGUUCCCAUUUCAGUAUUCUUCAGAGCUUAGAAUUUCACUUUAAUUCAAAGAGAAUAGGGACAAACAAGUGACACAAAAUGUCCAUAAGAAUCAUAAUAACUGAGUAAUUAAAAUUUGUAAAAUCAGAUUCAAUAUUCCUCAGAGCUUAGAAUUCCAUUUCAAUUCAAAGAGAAUAGGGACAAACAAGUGACACAAACUUUGCAAAAAGAAUCAUAAUAACUAAGUAAUUAAAAUCAGAUUCAAUAUUCCUUAGAGCUAUUGAUUAGAAUUUCAUGUUAAUUCAUAGAGAAUAGGGACAAACAAGUGACCCAAAAUUUGCAAAAAGGAUUAUAAUAACUAAGUAAUUAAAGUUUGGGGGUUUAAGCAGUGUACAUUCCUUCUCCACUGUUCUUUAUUAUAUAGUAAGAGGUUAUAAAUGUUUUUGACAAGUGUUCCUUCAUGAUAAGUAUUGUGAGAGAUUAACAUGGCCAAUAAAUGGUGAGCAAAAAAUUA
Molecule: RNA transcript, 5012 nt
Organism: Limulus polyphemus (Atlantic horseshoe crab)
Lineage: Eukaryota; Metazoa; Arthropoda; Merostomata; Xiphosura; Limulidae
Gene name: YTH domain-containing family protein 2-like
Exons: 6
Source: RefSeq, a predicted model, not a curated record